Molecule: unclassified non-coding RNA, 148 nt
Organism: Papio anubis (olive baboon)
Lineage: Eukaryota; Metazoa; Chordata; Mammalia; Primates; Cercopithecidae
Rfam family: Metazoan signal recognition particle RNA
About the family: The signal recognition particle (SRP) is a universally conserved ribonucleoprotein. It is involved in the co-translational targeting of proteins to membranes.
Source: Ensembl
GCCAGGCAUGGUGGUGCAUGCCUGUAAUCCCAGCUACUCAGGAGGCUGAGGCAGGAGAAUCGCUUGAACCCGGGAGGCAGAGGUUGCAGUGAGCCGAGAUCAUGUCACUGCACUCCAUCCUGGGUGACAGAGCGAGACUCCGUCUCAA